This 1102-nucleotide long non-coding RNA is filed under the name Nicotiana tabacum (common tobacco). RNAcentral describes it as "long non-coding RNA (NTAB_LNC018121)". The record is from RNAcentral. Lineage: Eukaryota; Viridiplantae; Streptophyta; Magnoliopsida; Solanales; Solanaceae.
AUACCUAUGGGUUCUAGGCUCAAUAUUUGAGGCCCAGUAGCAACAAGCUAUCCUGUGUUCUUGUGUGUGUCAAUUUUAAUAUUUUCAUAAUUUUGUAUGUUUAUUUUGUAAAUUAAAUAAUUAAUUUUUAUCAUAUUUAAUUGGACAGAGUAUAUACCUAUGGUUUCAGGCUCGAUAUUUGAGGCCCAGUAGCACCAAGCUAUCCUGUGUUCUUGUGUGUGUCAGCUUUAAAAUUUUCAUAAUUUUGUAUGUUUGUUUUGUAAAUUAAAUAAUUAAUUUUUAUCAUAUUUAAUUGGACAGAGUAUAUACCUAUGGGUUCCAAGCUCGAUAUUUGAGGCCCAGUAGCCUCAAGCUAUCCUGUGUUCUUGUGUGUGUCAAUUUUAAUAUUUUUAUAAUUUUGUAUGUUUGUUUUAUAAAUUAAAUAAUUAAGUUUUAUCAUAUUUAACUGGACAGAGUACAUACCUAUGGGUUCUAGGCUCGAUAUUUGAGGCACAGUAAAACCAAGCUAUCAUGUGUUCUUGUGUGUGUCAAUUUUAAUAUUUUCAUAAUUUUGUAUGUUUAUUUUGUAAAUUAAAUAAUUAAUUUUUAUCAUAUUUAAUUGGACAGAGUAUAUACCUAUGGGUUCCAGGCUCGAUAUUUGAGGCCCAGUAGCCUCAAGCUAUCCUGUGUUCUUGUGUGUGUCACUUUUAAUAUUUUUAUUAUUUUGUAUGUUUGUUUUGUAAAUUAAAUAAUUAAGUUUUAUCAUAUUUAACUGGACAGAGUAUAUAUCUAUGGGUUCUAGGCUCGAUAUUUGAGGCACAAUAGUACCAAGCUAUCAUGUGUUCUUGUGUGUGUCAAUUUUAAUAUUUUCAUAAUUUUGUAUGUUUGUUUUGUAAAUUAAAUAAUUAAUUUUUAUCAUAUUUAAUUGGACAGAGUAUAUACCUAUGGGUUCCAGACUCGAUAUUUGUUGCUUAGUAGCACCAAGCUAUCAUGUGUUCUUGUGUUGUCAAUUUUAAUAUUUUCAUUAUUUUGUAUGUUUGUUUUGUAAAUUAAAUAAUUAAUUUUUAUCAUAUUUAAUUGGACAGAGUAUAUAUCUAUGGGUUCCAGGCUCGAUAUCUGAAUC